This is a long non-coding RNA of Mesocricetus auratus (golden hamster), 750 nucleotides long. RefSeq lists it as uncharacterized. The record is from RefSeq and is a predicted model, not a curated record. The transcript has 2 exons. Lineage: Eukaryota; Metazoa; Chordata; Mammalia; Rodentia; Cricetidae.
AUCAGAUGCACAAAUGGACAAUGAAUGGCUAAUAUGGAGACUGAAGAUAACUCAAGAUAAUUUGACCCCGGAUCGGCAAAUUUAAACUUCUCAUCAAUUCUUUGAGGGGACUGUGGCUGUAACAGAGAAAUCCCAGCUGCCCUUCCUCUUCCUGCUCUGCAGCGAGGUCACAGAAGGCCCUCACUGAAGCCUGCAAUGUUCUCUUGAAAUCCUGCGCCUGUAAUUCUCCCGGUCCCAGACAUGCCGUUACGGAAAGAAUGAGCAGUGGGGAGUCUUUCCCAUGAGGCUCCCACAGUGUUCAAGUUCUCACGUCAGCAUCCCAGCGCCUCCGGGGUGCAGGCUCACUGCUGGUCUUCAGGGCCUUCAGGACGUUCGACUCCCAUGGCCACACGCUCCCUCUCCCAUUUGUUCCCUGUCACUCCAGGACAGAAAAAUUAUGAAACUCGGUUAAAUACAACUGUUGACACUUAGGAACAAUGACAGGCACAUUCUCCAGGGUCAAUGGAUUUCAGAACUUGACCCUGAUGACACCCUGUCACCAUUCUCUCCAUUUUUUAGACAAGGACAUUAAUGCACAGAUUAAGCCACCCCUCCGCUAUCAGAGCCACACUACACCCUGGAAGAAGGAAAUAAACUCACCCCAGAUCCCACAUGCAGAGCUAGUCAUUGGCACGUCUGUGCACGUGUACCCCUCUGGCUCUUCUCUUUGUAUUUUAAAUAUAGAAAUAUAUUCCAAAAAUUGUUGUGCCA